AAUCUUAGACAAUGGGCGCAAGCCUGAUCUAGCCAUGCCGCGUGAGUGAUGAAGGCCUUAGGGUCGUAAAGCUCUUUCGCCAGGGAUGAUAAUGACAGUACCUGGUAAAGAAACCCCGGCUAACUCCGUGCCAGCAGCCGCGGUAAUACGGAGGGGUUAGCGUUGUUCGGAAUUACUGGGCGUAAAGCGCGCGUAGGCGGAUUAGUCAGUUAGAGGUGAAAUCCCAGGGCUCAACCCUGGAACUGCCUUUAAUACUGCUAGUCUUGAGUUCGAGAGAGGUGAGUGGAAUUCCGAGUGUAGAGGUGAAAUUCGUAGAUAUUCGGAGGAACACCAGUGGCGAAGGCGGCUCACUGGCUCGAUACUGACGCUGAGGUGCGAAAGUGUGGGGAGCAAACAGGAUUAGAUACCCUGGUAG
Molecule: ribosomal RNA, 415 nt
Filed under: uncultured bacterium
Lineage: Bacteria
Description: bacterial SSU rRNA
Rfam family: Bacterial small subunit ribosomal RNA
Source: RNAcentral